UUAGAACGUUUUAGGGUCAAAU
Molecule: microRNA, 22 nt
Filed under: Homo sapiens (human)
Lineage: Eukaryota; Metazoa; Chordata; Mammalia; Primates; Hominidae
Description: hsa-miR-5687
Source: miRBase by way of RNAcentral